This 253-nucleotide ribosomal RNA is filed under the name uncultured bacterium. RNAcentral describes it as "partial 16S ribosomal RNA". It matches the Rfam family "Bacterial small subunit ribosomal RNA", at positions 524 to 776 of the family's 1533-position model. The record is from RNAcentral.
UACAGAGGGUGCGAGCGUUGUCCGGAAUCACUGGGCGUAAAGGGUUUGUAGGUGGCCUGCUAAGUCAGACGUGAAAUCCCUCAGCUUAACUGGGGAACUGCGUCUGAUACUGGCGGGCUUGAGGACAGGAGAGGAACGCGGAAUUCCAGGUGUAGCGGUGAAAUGCGUAGAUAUCUGGAGGAACACCGGUGGCGAAGGCGGCGUUCUGGACUGUUUCUGACACUGAAAAACGAAAGCCAGGGGAGCAAACGGG